UACGUAGGGUGCGAGCGUUGCCCGGAUUUAUUGGGCGUAAAGGGCGCGUAGGCGGUCACGCACGUCCGUUGUGAAAUCGCUCGGCUCAACUGGGCGGGGUCAGCGGAUACGGCGUGGCUGGAGCAAGCUAGGGGGCAAUGGAAUUCCCGGUGUAGUGGUGGAAUGCGUAGAUAUCGGGAGGAACACCAGUGGCGAAGGCGGUUGCCUGGAGCUUUGCUGACGCUGAUGCGCGAAAGUGUGGGGAGCGAACAGG
This 253-nucleotide ribosomal RNA is filed under the name uncultured bacterium. RNAcentral's name for it is "partial 16S ribosomal RNA". It matches the Rfam family "Bacterial small subunit ribosomal RNA", at positions 524 to 776 of the family's 1533-position model. The record is from RNAcentral.